UGACGGGUAACGGGGAAUUAGGGUUCGAUUCCGGAGAGGGAGCCUGAGAAACGGCUACCACAUCUAAGGAAGGCAGCAGGCGCGCAAAUUACCCAAUCCUAAUACAGGGAGGUAGUGACAAGAAAUAACAAUACAGGACUUAAUUGUUUUGUAAUUGGAAUGAGUUAAGUAUAAACCCCUUUACAAGUAUCAAUUGGAGGGCAAGUCUGGUGCCAGCAGCCGCGGUAAUUCCAGCUCCAAUAGCGUAUAUUAAAGUUGUUGCAGUUAAAAAGCUCGUAGUUGGAUUUCUGUUAAUAUUUUAUAUUAUUAAUUUAUUAUUAUUAAUAUAAUAUUAACAUAAUUCAUAUUACUUUUUAAGUAUAUGAAAUUUUACUUUGAGAAAAUUAGAGUGCUUAAAGCAGGCAUUUGCCUUGAAUACUCCAGCAUGGAAUAAUAUUAAAGAUUUUUAUCUUUCUUAUUGGUUCUAAGAUAGAAAUAAUGAUUAAUAGGG
RNAcentral lists this ribosomal RNA (490 nucleotides) under Cryptosporidium sp. RNAcentral describes it as "SSU rRNA". It matches the Rfam family "Eukaryotic small subunit ribosomal RNA", at positions 353 to 877 of the family's 1831-position model. The record is from RNAcentral. Lineage: Eukaryota; Apicomplexa; Conoidasida; Eucoccidiorida; Cryptosporidiidae.